AUGCAAGUCGAACGAGUUCUCGUUGAUGAUCGGUGCUUGCACCGAGAUUCAACAUGGAACGAGUGGCGGACGGGUGAGUAACACGUGGGUAACCUGCCCUUAAGUGGGGGAUAACAUUUGGAAACAGAUGCUAAUACCGCAUAGAUCCAAGAACCGCAUGGUUCUUGGCUGAAAGAUGGCGUAAGCUAUCGCUUUUGGAUGGACCCGCGGCGUAUUAGCUAGUUGGUGAGGUAAUGGCUCACCAAGGCGAUGAUACGUAGCCGAACUGAGAGGUUGAUCGGCCACAUUGGGACUGAGACACGGCCCAAACUCCUACGGGAGGCAGCAGUAGGGAAUCUUCCACAAUGGACGCAAGUCUGAUGGAGCAACGCCGCGUGAGUGAAGAAGGCUUUCGGGUCGUAAAACUCUGUUGUUGGAGAAGAAUGGUCGGCAGAGUAACUGUUGCCGGCGUGACGGUAUCCAACCAGAAAGCCACGGCUAACUACGUGCCAGCAGCCGCGGUAAUACGUAGGUGGCAAGCGUUAUCCGGAUUUAUUGGGCGUAAAGCGAGCGCAGGCGGUUUUUUAAGUCUGAUGUGAAAGCCCUCGGCUUAACCGAGGAAGCGCAUCGGAAACUGGGAAACUUGAGUGCAGAAGAGGACAGUGGAACUCCAUGUGUAGCGGUGAAAUGCGUAGAUAUAUGGAAGAACACCAGUGGCGAAGGCGGCUGUCUGGUCUGUAACUGACGCUGAGGCUCGAAAGCAUGGGUAGCGAACAGGAUUAGAUACCCUGGUAGUCCAUGCCGUAAACGAUGAAUGCUAGGUGUUGGAGGGUUUCCGCCCUUCAGUGCCGCAGCUAACGCAUUAAGCAUUCCGCCUGGGGAGUACGACCGCAAGGUUGAAACUCAAAGGAAUUGACGGGGGCCCGCACAAGCGGUGGAGCAUGUGGUUUAUUUCGAAGCAACGCGAG
RNAcentral lists this ribosomal RNA (947 nucleotides) under Lacticaseibacillus paracasei. Its description in RNAcentral is "bacterial SSU rRNA". It matches the Rfam family "Bacterial small subunit ribosomal RNA", at positions 55 to 965 of the family's 1533-position model. The record is from RNAcentral. Lineage: Bacteria; Bacillati; Bacillota; Bacilli; Lactobacillales; Lactobacillaceae.